ACUCCUACGGGAGGCAGCAGUGGGGAAUCUUGGACAAUGGGCGCAAGCCUGAUCCAGCCAUGCCGCGUGAGUGAUGAAGGCCCGUAGGGUCGUAAAGCUCUUUCGCCAGGGAUGAUAAUGACAGUACCUGGUAAACGAAACCCCGGCUAACUCCGUGCCAGCAGCCGCGGUAAUACGGAGGGGUUAGCGUUGUUCGGAAUUACUGGGCGUAAAGCGCGCGUAGGCGGAUUAGUCAGUUAGAGGUGAAAUCCCAGGGCUCAACCUGGAACUGCCUUUAAUACUGCUAGUCUUGAGUUCGAGAGAGGUGAGUGGAAUUCCGAGUGUAGAGUGAAAUUCGUAGAUAUUCGGAGGAACACCAGUGGCGAAGGCGGCUCACUGGCUCGAUACUGACGCUGAGGUGCGAAAGGUGUGGGGAGCAAACAGGAUUAGAUACCCUGGUAGGAUAGCG
Molecule: ribosomal RNA, 448 nt
Filed under: uncultured bacterium
Lineage: Bacteria
Description: bacterial SSU rRNA
Rfam family: Bacterial small subunit ribosomal RNA
Source: RNAcentral